Molecule: long non-coding RNA, 2078 nt
Organism: Drosophila virilis
Lineage: Eukaryota; Metazoa; Arthropoda; Insecta; Diptera; Drosophilidae
Source: RefSeq, a predicted model, not a curated record
ACUGGUUGCACAUUGUUGGCGGUUUAUUAGCUGCGCUUUGAUGAUUGUAGUGCCAGUUAAUAGAACGAGUAUUGGCUAGCUUCAGAGUUGGCCGAUUAUAAGUGACAGUGACUUAAAAAUACCUGGAACUGUUGGGAUAAGUUCUUUCUUAACUACCGAUCAGUGUUGUCCGACUGGGAGUAGGUGAUCAAUUUCAAUUCAUAUGUUCACGUUUAUCAAGAUAAUUUUCAUUGGAUCAGUAAACAUAGAAAUAAAAGUAUAAGCUUAUAAUAAAUAUUUACAUAUAUUCUGCUAACCAAAUGUUCACAGUACCAAACUAAAGGUAAAAGUGGAGUAUUUUCUUUUGAGUUUUUAAACUUGCAGACUAAUCAAAGGACUUUGAAUACGUGGAAAAAAUAAAGGGUGGCAGUCAUAGGACUUCAAUACAUUAUUUUUUAUGGGUAACCAGAUGAUGACCAUCUCUAGUUUUCUACUAAUUUUGUGCCAAUCGUGCGUUCCAUUGAUUUUUAUAUCGCAUUGCAACGUUGAACACUGGCUACUGAAGCUGUGUAAUUGACGCCAUGUACGAGCAUGUGUGCAUUGUGCAGCAUAAAAAGUUGAUUAGAGCUGGGAGAGCAGGGAGCAGCAGCGGUAGCCGGGUCCAACAAUUACUAACCCGAUGCCAACAUGGACAAAGGCACAUGGUCGAACAAAUUCUACGCUUUGUGGGCAAAUUAGCUGCACGAGAAAACAAAGCAUCGCAUCGCAAUGCGAAUGCAAAUGCAAAUGCCAGGCUAGCGAUAAACGUGGAGCUGAAGCAGACGUCACUGACAACAUCAGAGAAAUGGAUGCCGCAUCGGUGGCCUUCAACGGAAGCGAAGGCAGCCGCCACAUUAGCAGCUCUUUUGGUCAUUACCUAUUUUUGUUGUAUGCCCUGUGCUGCCGCCACGCAUUUGGACAAAAGAUUGCCCGCUGGUUUUUGGAUGCGCGCGUGCCUUGUGCGGCCUUUUGCCGCGUUUUGCCAAACAAUGAAAACGCUUUUCAAUUGUUGUUGCUGCAGCUUCUGCUGUUUGGCUAACAGGCGCUGCCAAUGGCCCGUCACGUCUUGUCAUAUGCAUUCGAGCUAACACAAAAUUAGGGCUUUCUAUUCUGAGCCUAUUUCAGAAAUGUCGCACAUAAAAGCAUAAAUAAUAGCGAUUUUGGCGCUUUAACUUGAGCUCUCUGUAGAAGCUUCAAAUUAAAUAAAAUAUUACAAAAAUGAAUGCUUGCCGCUUGCAAUUUUCAACAAGUUAAAGCUUCGAUAGAGGCUUAUAUUUGAAUUGGCUUUAUUUCUCGGUUCUUAUGCCUUAAGCUCGAGCCGGUCAGAUAAAUAUUUUAUUUUAUUUUAUUUAGUAUUUUAAAAGAGUUCUGUUAAAUCAAAAGAGUCUACCAAGUAUUGAAAAGUUUAAACCGGAAAACCACUCGUAGCUCAGUUUAAAAAGCUUUUGCGGUUUUAUGAUGGCUAAUAAUGUAAGUUUGCCAUGAAAUACAAUUCGUUUCCGAAAUAGCUAUUGUACGACGUGUGAGCUAUAAAAUGUAAGUUGAGGCGGCUUAUCUUUUGAGACCUACAUUUUUUGGGGCUGGGCACUUCAAACUUUGCGCAUCGAUGCAAAUCGAUCAUCAAAAUUUACGAGACAUUGCUCGGAAAAUGCGUCAUAAAAUUGCGCCAGAAAACUAAUUAAGUACAUAAAAUGCGAAUUAAUGGCUUUCAAAGUGCCGUAAAAAUGCACAGCGCAACAAUUAGCCAAAAGUCCUAAGGAUGUGCGAUGUGAAAUGCAAUGGAAUGCGAAUAUGUUGUCAGCCGUAAAAUCAAAACGAGACUUCAACUCGGCCUGACAAUGUGGUGUGGUGUACGGCCAAUGCAAAAGCUGGAGCGGCCUUUUGGCAAUGAAACCCAAUGCAAAGUCGUUAAAAGCAUCCAAAGUUGUUGCCGGAAAGAGCAGAAUCGGGUAUUUACACUAUUUAACUGAUGAAAAGUCUGAAUAUGCUCUCUAUCAGCUUAUGUUGUGCUCGAGAAUUUAAACAAAAAUUACUGAUAAAUAUAGUUAUACUGGAAAAAA